CUUAAAUGUAUUGUGUCAUUGUUUAAAGAAUAUCAACUGCGUGUCUACAAGCCACAGCUACACCAAUAGCCUACGCGUACACGAGCCUUAAAAUAUAAGCUACACUUAUAGUUAUAUUAAACUUGCUCAUUAACUUUUGUACUUUUCUCAAUUACCCCCGUGAAAGAAUCUCCUGUAAAAAAUCAAAUAUUUCGUGGCAAAAUCUGUACUUAUUCAAUAAUAAUUUACUAUUAAUUUUCUAGUGGACACACAUGGAGAAAAAUCUAACUACUGAGU
Non-coding RNA from Cinara cedri, 276 nucleotides. NCBI's taxonomy places the organism in Eukaryota, Metazoa, Arthropoda, Insecta, Hemiptera, Aphididae. The record is from the annotation of a GenBank genome assembly.